Molecule: ribosomal RNA, 402 nt
Filed under: bacterium
Lineage: Bacteria
Description: partial 16S ribosomal RNA
Rfam family: Bacterial small subunit ribosomal RNA
Source: RNAcentral
UGGGGAAUUUUGCACAAUGGGGGAAACCCUGAUGCAGCGACGCCGCGUGAUUUAGAAGGCCUUCGGGUUGUAAAAAUCUUUUCUAUGGGAAGAAAAUGACAGUACCAUAGGAAUAAGGACCGGCUAAUUACGUGCCAGCAGCCGCGGUAAUACGUAAGGUCCGAGCGUUGUCCGGAAUCAUUGGGCGUAAAGGGUACGUAGGCGGGUAAGCAAGUUAGAAGUGAAAUCCUAUAGCUCAACUAUAGUAAGCUUUUAAAACUGCUCAUCUUUAGGUAUGGAAGGGAAAGUGGAAUUCCUAGUGUAGCGGUGAAAUGCGCAGAUAUUAGGAGGCAUACCGGUGGCGAAGGCGACUUUCUGGCCAUAACCUGACGCUGAGGUACGAAAGCGUGGGUAGCAAACAGG